Molecule: ribosomal RNA, 201 nt
Filed under: uncultured bacterium
Lineage: Bacteria
Description: partial 16S ribosomal RNA
Rfam family: Bacterial small subunit ribosomal RNA
Source: RNAcentral
GUAGUCUGCAACCCGACUACAUGAAGCUGGAAUCGCUAGUAAUCGCGGAUCAGAAUGCCGCGGUGAAUACGUUCCCGGGUCUUGUACACACCGCCCGUCACACCAUGGGAGUCGGAAAUGCCCGAAGUCUGUGACCUAACCGCAAGGGAGGAGCAGCCGAAGGCAGGUCGGAUGACUGGGGUGAAGUCGUAACAAGGUAUC